RNAcentral lists this ribosomal RNA (451 nucleotides) under uncultured bacterium. RNAcentral's name for it is "SSU rRNA". It matches the Rfam family "Bacterial small subunit ribosomal RNA", at positions 26 to 518 of the family's 1533-position model. The record is from RNAcentral.
AGGAUAAACGCUGGCGGCGUGCCUAACACAUGCAAGUCGAACGUCCUACGCAAGUAGGGAGUGGCGGACGGGUGAGUAACACGUGGGCAAUCUACCUUUCGGUGAGGAAUACCGGCGAGAAAUCGCCGACAAUACCGCAUACGCUUCGCAAGAAGCAAAGUCGCAAGACGCCGGAGGAGGAGCCUGCGCCCGAUUAGCUCGUUGGUGGAGUAAUGGUCUACCAAGGCGACGAUCGGUAGCUGGUCUGAGAGGAUGAUCAGCCACACUGGGAUUGAGAACGGCCCAGACUCCUACGGGGGGCAGCAGUGAGGAAUUUUCGUCAAUGGGGGAAACCCUGAACGAGCAACGCCGCGUGCAGGAAGACAUCCCUUGGGAUGUAAACUCCUUUCGAUCGGGAAGAUAAUGACGGUACCGGAAGAAGAGCCCCGGCUAACUUCGUGCCAGCAGCCGC